RNAcentral lists this long non-coding RNA (415 nucleotides) under Equus asinus (donkey). RNAcentral describes it as "lncRNA (ENSEASG00005027503.1)". Lineage: Eukaryota; Metazoa; Chordata; Mammalia; Perissodactyla; Equidae. The record is from RNAcentral.
CUUGAAAAUGGAAAAUUGCCAACUACAAACUCAAGGCACAAUGUGAGAAUCAGAAAGAUGCACAUCAACAUGUGAAUAAGCCCUAGUUCUAAUAGCUGAAGAGCAGACAGUGUGGAAAAUCAAGCUAAUGGCACUGCAGUACCUGGAGUACAUCUCUUGAAGAGAUAGCUGUGCUGAAAUAGAAAACCAAACUAUAAAUGGAAGCAUUCCAAGAAGUAAAAAUUGUGCUAAAUACAAAGUUGGAAUAUAGAAUUACCACAACAUGGGAGAGUUUAUCAGCACUGCACAGGCCUGUGACUCUCAAGUUUAAACCUGGGGUUCAAGACUUAUUGAUGGAAGUGAAUACUCCUUUCUGUGAUGUUCCCCAGCACUGCCAGGGGAAGCAGGACAGCCUUUUGAUGAACUCUUGGAGUAG